GAGAUUAAAGAUUUAUCGGUGAUGGAUGGGGAUGCGUCUGAUUAGCUUGUUGGCGGGGUAACGGCCCACCAAGGCAACGAUCAGUAGGGGUUCUGAGAGGAAGGUCCCCCACAUUGGAACUGAGACACGGUCCAAACUCCUACGGGAGGCAGCAGUGAGGAAUAUUGGUCAAUGGACGAGAGUCUGAACCAGCCAAGUAGCGUGCAGGAUGACGGCCCUAUGGGUUGUAAACUGCUUUUAUAAGGGAAUAAAGUGAGUCUCGUGAGACUUUUUGCAUGUACCUUAUGAAUAAGGACCGGCUAAUUCCGUGCCAGCAGCCGCGGUAAUACGGAAGGUCCGGGCGUUAUCCGGAUUUAUUGGGUUUAAAGGGAGCGUAGGCCGGAGAUUAAGCGUGUUGUGAAAUGUAGACGCUCAACGUCUGCACUGCAGCGCGAACUGGUUUCCUUGAGUACGCACAAAGUGGGCGGAAUUCG
This 473-nucleotide ribosomal RNA is filed under the name uncultured bacterium. RNAcentral describes it as "bacterial SSU rRNA". It matches the Rfam family "Bacterial small subunit ribosomal RNA", at positions 197 to 670 of the family's 1533-position model. The record is from RNAcentral.